GUUAUCACUUAGAUAUAGUUGCUCCAAUCGUGUAUUGUUCUUAAGCAACCACGAUGGAAACAUUCCAGUGAUGUUGUAGGAGAGAUCAAGGACUCUUAAGUCAUAUUGGUGAUAGAGGAAGGUGGGAAUUUCUAC
Molecule: long non-coding RNA, 135 nt
Organism: Populus euphratica (Euphrates poplar)
Lineage: Eukaryota; Viridiplantae; Streptophyta; Magnoliopsida; Malpighiales; Salicaceae
Exons: 3
Source: RefSeq, a predicted model, not a curated record